AUUGAACGCUGGCGGCAUGCCUAACACAUGCAAGUCGAACGAGUGGCGGACGGGGGCGUAAUGUCUGGGAAACUGCCCGAUGGAGGGGGAUAACUACUGGAAACGGUAGCUAAUACCGCAUACUAUCGGAUGUGCCCAGAUGGGCUUCGCUAGUGGGUGGGGGAAUGGCUCACCUAGGCGACGAUCCCUAGGUGGGCUGAGAGGAUGACCAGCCACCCUGGAACUUGGCGACGGUCCAGACUCCUACGCGAGGCAGCAGGGGGGAAUAUUGCGCAAUGGGCGCAAGCCUGAUUCAGCCAUGCCGCGUGUAUGAAGAAGGCCUGCGGGUUGUAAAGUACUUACCGCGAUGAGGCGUUACUCGCAGAAGAAGCACCGGCUAACUCCGUGCCAGCAGCCGCGGUAAUUC
Molecule: ribosomal RNA, 406 nt
Filed under: uncultured bacterium
Lineage: Bacteria
Description: partial 16S ribosomal RNA
Rfam family: Bacterial small subunit ribosomal RNA
Source: RNAcentral